This 73-nucleotide transfer RNA is filed under the name Mesostigma viride. RNAcentral describes it as "tRNA-Met". It matches the Rfam family "tRNA". Rfam says of the family: Transfer RNA (tRNA) molecules are approximately 80 nucleotides in length. Their secondary structure includes four short double-helical elements and three loops (D, anti-codon, and T loops). Further hydrogen bonds mediate the characteristic L-shaped molecular structure. tRNAs have two regions of fundamental functional importance: the anti-codon, which is responsible for specific mRNA codon recognition, and the 3' end, to which the tRNAs corresponding amino acid is attached (by aminoacyl-tRNA synthetases). tRNAs cope with the degeneracy of the genetic code in two manners: having more than one tRNA (with a specific anti-codon) for a particular amino acid; and 'wobble' base-pairing, i.e. permitting non-standard base-pairing at the 3rd anti-codon position. Lineage: Eukaryota; Viridiplantae; Streptophyta; Mesostigmatophyceae; Mesostigmatales; Mesostigmataceae. The record is from RNAcentral.
GGCGGAAUAGUUCAGUGGUUAGAACUAUGGAAUCAUAAUCCAUGUGUCGGGGGUUCAAAUCCCUCUUCCGCUA